This 441-nucleotide ribosomal RNA is filed under the name uncultured bacterium. RNAcentral's name for it is "partial 16S ribosomal RNA". It matches the Rfam family "Bacterial small subunit ribosomal RNA", at positions 338 to 795 of the family's 1533-position model. The record is from RNAcentral.
CCUACGUGGGGCAGCAGUGGGGAAUAUUGCACAAUGGGGGAAACCCUGAUGCAGCGACGCCGCGUGAGUGAAGAAGUAUUUCGGUAUGUAAAGCUCUAUCAGCAGGAACGAGACAAGACGGUACCUGACAAAGAAGCCCCGGCUAACUACGUGCCAGCAGCCGCGGUAAUACGUAGGGGGCAAGCGUUAUCCGGAAUCACUGGGUGUAAAGGGAGCGUAGACGGCUGUGCAAGCCUGAAGUGAAGGGCGGGGGCCCAACCCCUGGACUGCUUUGGGAACCGUACGGCUGGAGUGCAGGAGAGGUAAGUGGAAUUCCUAGUGUAGCGGUGAAAUGCGUAGAUAUUAGGAGGAACACCAGUGGCGAAGGCGGCUUACUGGACUGUAACUGACGUUGAGGCGCGAAAGCGUGGGGAGCAAACAGGAUUAGAUACCCUUGUAGUC